This 500-nucleotide ribosomal RNA is filed under the name uncultured Sphingobacteriales bacterium. RNAcentral describes it as "bacterial SSU rRNA". It matches the Rfam family "Bacterial small subunit ribosomal RNA", at positions 903 to 1382 of the family's 1533-position model. The record is from RNAcentral. Lineage: Bacteria; Pseudomonadati; Bacteroidota; Sphingobacteriia; Sphingobacteriales.
UUGCCAGCCCGCUCAGAAACUUAAAGGAAUUGACGGGGGCCCGCACAAGCGGAGGAGCAUGUGGUUUAAUUCGAUGAUACGCGAGGAACCUUACCUGGGCUCGAACGUAAGAUGACUGUAGGUGAAAGCUUACAUCUCUUCGGAGCAUUUUACGAGGUGCUGCAUGGUUGUCGUCAGCUCGUGCCGUGAGGUGUCGGGUUAAGUCCCAUAACGAGCGCAACCCCUACCUUUAGUUGCCAUCAGGUUAAGCUGGGGACUCUAAAGGAACUGCCUACGCAAGUAGUGAGGAAGCGGGGAUGACGUCAAAUCAGCACGGCCCUUACGUCCAGGGCUACACACGUGCUACAAUGGCCGAUACAGAGGGCAGCUACCUGGUGACAGGAUGCAAAUCUCCAAAGUCGGUCUCAGUUCGGAUCGGAGUCUGCAACCCGACUCCGUGAAGUUGGAUUCGCUAGUAAUCGCGCAUCAGCCAUGGCGCGGUGAAUACGUUCCCGGGCCUU